Molecule: ribosomal RNA, 465 nt
Filed under: uncultured bacterium
Lineage: Bacteria
Description: partial 16S ribosomal RNA
Rfam family: Bacterial small subunit ribosomal RNA
Source: RNAcentral
CCUACGGGUGGCAGCAGUGGGGAAUUUUGGACAAUGGGCGCAAGCCUGAUCCAGCUAAUCCGCGUGUGGGAUGAAGGCCCUCGGGUUGUAAACCACCUUUUUACAGGACGAAAAGACACCCUCGAAUAAAGGGUGUUGCUGACGGUACUCUAAGAAUAAGCACCGGCUAACUACGUCCCAGCAGCCGCGGUAAUACGUAGGGUGCGUGCGUUAAUCGGAUUUACUGGGCGUAAAGGGUGCGCAGGCGGUUGAGUAAGGCAGAUGUGAAAUCCGCGAGCGUAACUCGGGCAUGGCAUAUGUGACUGCUCGACUAGAGUGUGUCAGAGGGAGGUGGAAUGCCAGGUGUAGCAGUGAAAUGCGUAGAUAUGUGGCAGAACACCGAUGGCGAAGGCAGCCUACUGGGACACAACUGACGCUGAGGCACGAAAGCGUGGGGAGCAAACAGGAUUAGAUACCCUAGUAGUC